RNAcentral lists this ribosomal RNA (253 nucleotides) under uncultured bacterium. Its description in RNAcentral is "partial 16S ribosomal RNA". It matches the Rfam family "Bacterial small subunit ribosomal RNA", at positions 524 to 776 of the family's 1533-position model. The record is from RNAcentral.
UACGGGGGGGGCAAGCGUUGUUCGGAAUUACUGGGCGUAAAGGGUUCGUAGGUGGCCACUUAAGUCAGACGUGAAAUCCCUCAGCUUAACUGGGGAACUGCGUCUGAUACUGAGUGGCUUGAGUGCAGGAGAGGAAUGCGGAAUUCCAGGUGUAGCGGUGAAAUGCGUAGAUAUCUGGAGGAACACCGGUGGCGAAGGCGGCAUUCUGGACUGUAACUGACACUGAGGAACGAAAGCCAGGGGAGCAAACGGG